AGUGAACGCUGGCGGUAGGCCUAACACAUGCAAGUCGAACGGCAGCACAGUAAGAGCUUGCUCUUACGGGUGGCGAGUGGCGGACGGGUGAGGAAUACAUCGGAAUCUACUUUUUCGUGGGGGAUAACGUAGGGAAACUUACGCUAAUACCGCAUACGACCUACGGGUGAAAGCAGGGGAUCUUCGGCCCUUGCGCGAUUGAAUGAGCCGAUGUCGGAUUAGCUAGUUGGCGGGGUAAAGGCCCACCAAGGCGACGAUCCGUAGCUGGUCUGAGAGGAUGAUCAGCCACACUGGAACUGAGACACGGUCCAGACUCCUACGGGAGGCAGCAGUGGGGAAUAUUGGACAAUGGGCGCAAGCCUGAUCCAGCCAUACCGCGUGGGUGAAGAAGGCCUUCGGGUUGUAAAGCCCUUUUGUUGGGAAAGAAAAGCAGCAGGUUAAUACCCCGCUGUUCCGACGGUACCCAAAGAAUAAGCACCGGCUAACUUCGUG
This 492-nucleotide ribosomal RNA is filed under the name uncultured bacterium. RNAcentral describes it as "partial 16S ribosomal RNA". It matches the Rfam family "Bacterial small subunit ribosomal RNA", at positions 29 to 507 of the family's 1533-position model. The record is from RNAcentral.